AAUCAAAGGGGUUAUAGUGAAUUCCCAAGAGAGACUUGGGGAGUGGACGUAGGAGCAAGGGUUAGCUCCGAACCACUAUAAAAGCUUUGUGUUUGUGAUUGCUUGUCUCUUACCAUUACUCUCAUUUCAUACACAUCACAGCAACUAAUUAAUCAUCUUGUAAAAAGCAUUAAUUAGUCACCCACAAACGCUUUAAUAGUUAAAAUUAUUUUAAAACCCAAUUCACCCCCCCUCUUGGGUUGUCUAUCUGGGCAACA
RNAcentral lists this long non-coding RNA (257 nucleotides) under Phoenix dactylifera (date palm). RNAcentral describes it as "long non-coding RNA (PDAC_LNC015642)". The record is from RNAcentral. Lineage: Eukaryota; Viridiplantae; Streptophyta; Magnoliopsida; Arecales; Arecaceae.